This 456-nucleotide ribosomal RNA is filed under the name uncultured Anaerolineaceae bacterium. Its description in RNAcentral is "bacterial SSU rRNA". It matches the Rfam family "Bacterial small subunit ribosomal RNA", at positions 916 to 1381 of the family's 1533-position model. Lineage: Bacteria; Bacillati; Chloroflexota; Anaerolineae; Anaerolineales; Anaerolineaceae. The record is from RNAcentral.
GACGGGCCCCGCACAAGCAGCGGAGCGUGUGGUUUAAUUCGUUGCUACACGAAGAACCUUACCUGGGUUUGACAUAAUGGUGGUAGGGAUCCGAAAGGUGACCGACCCUUCGGGGAGCCAUUUACAGGUGUUGCAUGGCUGUCGUCAGCUCGUGUCGUGAGAUGUUCGGUUAAGUCCGCUAACGAGCGCAACCCUCGCUGUGUGUUAUAUGUGUCACACAGGACUGCUGGUAUUAAGCCGGAGGAAGUGGGACGACGUCAAGUCAGCAUGACCUUUAUAUCCAGGGCUACACACACGCUACAAUGGUCAGUACAAUGGGUUGCCAAGCCGCGAGGCGGAGCCAAUCCUAAAAAGCUGGCCUCAGUUCAGAUUGCAGUCUGAAACUCGACUGCAUGAAGUCGGAGUUGCUAGUAAACGCAGGUCAGCUAUACUGCGUUGAAUACGUUCCCGGGGCUU